Molecule: ribosomal RNA, 446 nt
Filed under: uncultured bacterium
Lineage: Bacteria
Description: partial 16S ribosomal RNA
Rfam family: Bacterial small subunit ribosomal RNA
Source: RNAcentral
CCUACGGGCGGCAGCAGUCGAGAAUCAUUCACAAUGGGGGAAACCCUGAUGGGGCGACGCCGCGUGGGGGAAUGAAGGUCUUCGGAUUGUAAACCCCUGUCAUGUGGGAGCAAAUUAAAAAGAUAGUACCACAAGAGGAAGAGACGGCUAACUCUGUGCCAGCAGCCGCGGUAAUACAGAGGUCUCAAGCGUUGUUCGGAAUCACUGGGCGUAAAGCGUGCGUAGGCGGUUUCGUAAGUCGUGUGUGAAAGGCGCGGGCUCAACCCGCGGACGGCACAUGAUACUGCGAGACUAGAGUAAUGGAGGGGGAACCGGAAUUCUCGGUGUAGCAGUGAAAUGCGGAGAUAUCGAGAGGAACACUCGUGGCGAAGGCGGGUUCCUGGACAUUAACUGACGCUGAGGCACGAAGGCCAGGGGAGCGAAAGGGAUUAGAUACCCGGGUAGUC